GUAUAAAACAUCAGACGUGGAUUUGUGUUAUAGAC
This 35-nucleotide non-coding RNA is filed under the name Trypanosoma brucei brucei. Lineage: Eukaryota; Euglenozoa; Kinetoplastea; Trypanosomatida; Trypanosomatidae. The record is from RNAcentral.